GAAGGGGGCAAGAGCAUCAAGGACUGCUAAUCCUCCACCCAGUAGUUAAAUCCCACAGACCCU
RNAcentral lists this transfer RNA (63 nucleotides) under Pseudemoia entrecasteauxii. RNAcentral's name for it is "partial tRNA-Ser". Lineage: Eukaryota; Metazoa; Chordata; Lepidosauria; Squamata; Scincidae. The record is from RNAcentral.